UACAGAGGGUGCAAGCGUUGUCCGGAUUUACUGGGCGUAAAGAGCGCGCAGGCGGUCGAUCAAGUCGAGUGUGAAAGCCCCCGGCUCAACUGGGGAGGGUCACUCGAUACUGAUCGACUCGAAGGCGGGAGAGGGAAGCGGAAUUCCCGGUGUAGUGGUGAAAUGCGUAGAUAUCGGGAGGAACACCAGUGGCGAAGGCGACUACCUGGCCUGUUCUUGACGCUGAGGCGCGAAAGCUAGGGGAGCAAACGGG
This 253-nucleotide ribosomal RNA is filed under the name uncultured bacterium. Its description in RNAcentral is "partial 16S ribosomal RNA". It matches the Rfam family "Bacterial small subunit ribosomal RNA", at positions 524 to 776 of the family's 1533-position model. The record is from RNAcentral.